AACUGAUACUACCUGCGGGAACCUGCGGAGGGAUCAAUAGUGAGUUGGGAAUGUAAUAUUGUGAAUUGCUAGGGGUAACGAAUGAUGAUGAUUGUUGUUGUCAUCAUUGCUGUUACCCCUGGACAACCACAACACAAACGAUAACAAUCAAGAUCAAAUACAAUCAAUCAAUCAAAACAACUUUCAACAAUGGAUCUCU
Molecule: unclassified non-coding RNA, 199 nt
Filed under: soil metagenome
Description: partial contains 5.8S ribosomal RNA, internal transcribed spacer 2, and large subunit ribosomal RNA
Source: RNAcentral